CGGGUGAGUAACGCGUGAGGAACCUGCCUCAAAGAGGGGGACAACAGUUGGAAACGGCUGCUAGUACCGCAUAAGCCCACGGCUCGGCAUCGAGCAGAGGGAAAAGGAGCAAUCCGCUUUGAGAUGGCCUCGCGUCCGAUUAGCUAGUUGGUGAGGUAAUGGCCCACCAAGGCAACGAUCGGUAGCCGGACUGAGAGGUUGAACGGCCACAUUGGGACUGAGACACGGCCCAG
Molecule: ribosomal RNA, 233 nt
Filed under: uncultured bacterium
Lineage: Bacteria
Description: partial 16S ribosomal RNA
Rfam family: Bacterial small subunit ribosomal RNA
Source: RNAcentral